UACGAAGGGUGCAAGCGUUACUCGGAAUUACUGGGCGUAAAGGGCGCGUAGGCGGGAUGGCAAGUCGGUCGUGAAAUCCUUCGGCUCAACCGAAGAACGUCGAUCGAUACUGCUGUUCUUGAGGGUUGCAGAGGAGACUGGAAUUCCCGGUGUAGCGGUGAAAUGUGUAGAGAUCGGGAGGAACACCGGUGGCGAAGGCGGGUCUCUGGGCAACUCCUGACGCUGAGGCGCGAAAGCGUGGGGAGCAAACGGG
RNAcentral lists this ribosomal RNA (253 nucleotides) under uncultured bacterium. Its description in RNAcentral is "partial 16S ribosomal RNA". It matches the Rfam family "Bacterial small subunit ribosomal RNA", at positions 524 to 776 of the family's 1533-position model. The record is from RNAcentral.